CCUACGGGAGACAGCAGUGAGGAAUAUUGGUCAAUGGACGAGAGUCUGAACCAGCCAAGUAGCGUGAAGGAUGACUGCCCUAUGGGUUGUAAACUUCUUUUAUAAAGGAAUAAAACGAGGCACGUGUGCCUUUUUGCAUGUACUUUAUGAAUAAGGAUCGGCUAACUCCGUGCCAGCAGCCGCGGUAAUACGGAGGAUCCGAGCGUUAUCCGGAUUUAGUGGGUUUAAAGGGAGCGUAGAUGGGUUGUUAAGUCAGUUGUGAAAGUUUGCGGCUCAACCGUAAAAUUGCAAUUGAUACUGGCAGUCUUGAGUACAGUUGAGGUAGGCGGAAUUCGUGGUGUAGCGGUGAAAUGCUUAGAUAUCACGAAGAACCCCGAUUGCGAAGGCAGCUUACUAAACUGUGACUGACAUUGAUGCUCGAAAGUGUGGGUAUCAAACAGGAUUAGAUACCCUUGUAGUC
RNAcentral lists this ribosomal RNA (460 nucleotides) under uncultured bacterium. RNAcentral describes it as "partial 16S ribosomal RNA". It matches the Rfam family "Bacterial small subunit ribosomal RNA", at positions 338 to 795 of the family's 1533-position model. The record is from RNAcentral.